UACGUAGGGUGCAAGCGUUAAUCGGAAUUACUGGGCGUAAAGCGCGCGUAGGUGGUUUGUUAAGUUGGAUGUGAAAUCCCCGGGCUCAACCUGGGAACUGCAUCCGAGACUGCAUUGCUAGAGUAUGGGAGAGGGAAGCGGAAUUUCUGGUGUAGCAGUGAAAUGCGUAGAUAUCAGAAGGAACAUCAGUGGCGAAGGCGGCUUCCUGGACCAAUACUGACGAUCAGGUGCGAAAGCGUGGGGAGCAAACAGG
This 253-nucleotide ribosomal RNA is filed under the name uncultured bacterium. RNAcentral describes it as "partial 16S ribosomal RNA". It matches the Rfam family "Bacterial small subunit ribosomal RNA", at positions 524 to 776 of the family's 1533-position model. The record is from RNAcentral.